Alnus glutinosa is the source of this 667-nucleotide long non-coding RNA. RefSeq lists it as uncharacterized. The record is from RefSeq and is a predicted model, not a curated record. The transcript is spliced from 3 exons. NCBI's taxonomy places the organism in Eukaryota, Viridiplantae, Streptophyta, Magnoliopsida, Fagales, Betulaceae.
AUUACCAUUAAAGAGCAACAAUAUUUUCAUGUGUGUGGUAUUUCAGAUCAGCCCUUCAGCUGCAUUAUCGAGAAUCAUGCUUGCCGGCAGUUUACAACACAGAGUUCGCCAGAGGAUCAAGGAAGACAUUGCUGCUUCCAGAGCCAGAAUAGCAAACACGUCAAUUAUUCCACAGAGGAAUGUUGUUAGGGCUGAUGUGAUGGUAGCACCUCUUGAUGUCAUUAAUGACAUCAUUCAGACAUAUAACUAGGGCUAUCUCUACAAUUGUGCUUACAUUGUACUCAACUUCUCUCGAGUCACUUCAGGGAAGUAUGAGUUAGAUGCAGCGAGUGGUUCACUCUAUUAACCUCCGUGUGGAGCAGUGCCAGCUGGAUAUUCAAGAGUGUCUCCAACACCAUCAUUCGGCUCAUGAUAAUGAGGAUCAUCCUACCCUUGCUAAGGACGAUUGGUUAUUUUUUGUUUGGUGUUUUGUUUAGCUUAUUUUGAGACAUUUUUUUUUAUUAUUUUCCUUUCUUGGAUUAUUGUAAUAUUUUUAUAACUCUGGAUUAAUUUACUCUGUUUACCCUUGUCUUGCUGAGACAUUAAGGGGGAGUAAUUUUUAUUGUUGGUUUUUAUAUGCUCUAUUUUACCUUUUAUCAUUUUGAGACAAAAAUAGAGAGUAUUUUUU